UACAGAGGUGGCAAGCGUUGUUCGGAAUUACUGGGCGUAAAGGGUGCGUAGGCGGCGGGGCAAGUCUGAUGUGAAAUCCCGGGGCUCAACCCCGGAACUGCAUUGGAUACUGCCUUGCUUGAGUACUGGAGAGGGAACUGGAAUUUACGGUGUAGCAGUGAAAUGCGCAGAUAUCGGGAGGAACACCAAUGGCGAAGGCAGCUUGCUGGGACGGUACUGACGCUGAGGCGCGAAAGCGUGGGGAGCAAACAGG
Molecule: ribosomal RNA, 253 nt
Filed under: uncultured bacterium
Lineage: Bacteria
Description: partial 16S ribosomal RNA
Rfam family: Bacterial small subunit ribosomal RNA
Source: RNAcentral